UAAGAUGAAAUCAUUAAUGAUGUUUCAUUUACAAUGAAAAUUAGUUUAUAUAAACCAUUUUAA
RNAcentral lists this transfer RNA (63 nucleotides) under Ixodes fecialis. RNAcentral describes it as "tRNA-Val". The record is from RNAcentral. Lineage: Eukaryota; Metazoa; Arthropoda; Arachnida; Ixodida; Ixodidae.